UUCGUUAGUCGCUGCGGUCGUCGGAUUUCAGAGGGCGGCGGCGGUAGGGGCGGCGACCUCCUGCCGUUGUUCGGCCUUCAAACGACGGCGAGUGCGGCCUUCAAACGACGGCGGCGGUGGCGGUUAGAGAGAAGAGAGGUUAGAGAGAAGAGAGAGCAGCCUUGAGAGGGUGAGUGUGCGGUGUGGGUGUGCGACAGAGGGAACGAGAGAGAGAGA
This 216-nucleotide long non-coding RNA is filed under the name Salvia miltiorrhiza (redroot sage). RNAcentral describes it as "long non-coding RNA (SMIL_LNC001752)". The record is from RNAcentral. Lineage: Eukaryota; Viridiplantae; Streptophyta; Magnoliopsida; Lamiales; Lamiaceae.